Molecule: long non-coding RNA, 524 nt
Organism: Electrophorus electricus (electric eel)
Lineage: Eukaryota; Metazoa; Chordata; Actinopteri; Gymnotiformes; Gymnotidae
Source: RefSeq, a predicted model, not a curated record
GCAGUACUUCCGGUCUCAUUCGUUAGGCUUGGAUUGGACAGUGAGAACUGGCAUGCCUCACUGUCGGCGUAUCCCCGGGGUGAAUAUGGAGCCUCUGCCAUGGUGUUGUGUGCGAGUCUGGCAACAUAUGCCCUCAUGAAGCAUCAGAUUCACCUACUGAAUGUAGGCCUGCGAUGUUUCACAUGAAAUCCAAUGAGUAAAUCGUACGUCAGAAGCUUAAGUAGUUGGUGUGAUGACCUGGGGUGUCCAGUGGGGGGUGCUCUUCUCUGGCUGAUCUAGUCUGGGAUGACGGCACAGAAAGGAGCAAAUGAACUGGGAACGCUUGGGGCUGCAGACCUGGUUAAGGAUUCCCUCUCCCCACCCCCCCAUGGGUCUGCUAAGUGGGGAAAGACGAGCUGGAUAGCUGAUACGUCUAAGGAGCCACAGUCCUAACUCAAGUUUCUCUUAAACCAUUUCUGCUGUUGUCUUAACAUUCCUGUUCAAUGUGAUGUAAGUCAAUAUCCAAAUAAAAGCAUUUGGUGUGA